GAUGAAGAACGUAGUGAAAUGCGAUACGUAAUGUGAAUUGCAGAAUUCAGUGAAUCAUCGAGUCUUUGAACGCACAUUGCGCCCCCUGGUAUUCCGGGGGGCAUGCCUGUCCGAGCGUCAUUGCUGCCCUCAAGCACGGCUUGUGUGUUGGGCCUCCGUCCUCCUCCCGGGGGCCGGGCCCGAAAGGCAGCGGCGGCACCGCGUCCGGUCCUCGAGCGUAUGGGGCUUCGUCACCCGCUCUUGUAGGCCCGGCCGGCGCUUGCCGACACAUCAAUCUUUUUUCCAGGUUGACCUCGGAUCAGGUAGGGAUACCCGCUGAACUUAAGCAUAUCAAUAAGCGGAGGA
RNAcentral lists this unclassified non-coding RNA (345 nucleotides) under soil metagenome. RNAcentral describes it as "partial contains 5.8S ribosomal RNA, internal transcribed spacer 2, and large subunit ribosomal RNA". The stretch from base 1 to 120 matches the Rfam family "5.8S ribosomal RNA", at positions 35 to 154 of the family's 154-position model. The record is from RNAcentral.